AAAGAAAAUAAUUCCUGGAACUUUGCAUGUUUUAUGGGACUUUCCUUAUGAGGUAGGCUCUCCAAUUUUUUAUGAGAUGUAAAUUCAAGUAUUGUGUUUGAAAUUUUGUGAGUAAAAACCAUGAAAGAAGGAUUUAAAUAUUUUUUUGAAUUUUUGUUGUAGAGGGUGGUGAUUUGACUUGUGACCAGCUGAUUUUGCACGUGCUUGACUUCGAUGUAAACAAACUCUCACGCCUUGCUGGAUGGGACCCCCCUUGACAGCUCAACUUGACCAUGUCCAGGAAAAUCAGAAUGCCUUGCUGGGUGCAGUUGCAUCACUCUAUUUAUGUGGAGGUUCACGUCGAAUCAUGGCCGAAAGAAAAUAAUUCCUGGAACUUUGCAUGUUUUAUGGGACUUUCCUUAUGAGGUAGGCUCUCCAAUUUUUUAUGAGAUGUAAAUUCAAGUAUUGUGUUUGAAAUUUUGUGAGUAAAAACCAUGAAAGAAGGAUUUAAAUAUUUUUUUGAAUUUUUGUUGU
Molecule: long non-coding RNA, 513 nt
Organism: Ostrea edulis (European flat oyster)
Lineage: Eukaryota; Metazoa; Mollusca; Bivalvia; Ostreida; Ostreidae
Exons: 3
Source: RefSeq, a predicted model, not a curated record